UCCCCACGCACGCCCGCACCCCUCCCUCCUCCCUCGCUCGUCUCAGCCGCCACCCCCACGAACCCUAGCCGCCACCCCCACGAACCCUUAGCCGCUCCCUUCCUUCAUCCGUCCUCCUCCCCCUCCCUGCUACGAGCCCCUCCCCGGCGGCCGCGAGCUCCUCCUCCUCCGUUCUCGCUUGCUCCAACCCGAGCACGCUGGCGGAGACACGAACCGUGAGGCCCCGGAGCAGUUCAGCCAGCACCGCAAGACCCCGGAGCAGUUCAUCCAGUACAGAUCCCCUCCGUACAAGAGGAAACCCGUGGCCAAUCCAGCCAACAACGACGACGCGUAGGAGAGCUCGACCUUGAUGAGGAAAGCAGCGGGGUUGGUGCAGCAGCGAAGGUCGGGGUCGGCCGUGGAGGGAGGCUUGCUGGCCGAAGCAGCAAGAGCAAGAAGGUUGAGGUGGUUCAGAAACUGAAUGCAUAUAAGAAUCGAGGACCUUCACAGUGGCUUCAUGAUGAUGAUCAUCUACCGAGGCAUCAAGAUGAGCACAUACAUCAUCUUGGACAAGCAGAUGUGAAUUUCUUCUCGCAUCCCGAGUACAUAUGUGAGGCUAUGGGAGUACUUUUUCAUGUGAUGAUGGGAGGAACGAAUUGUACCAUGUGAACAAUCGCUGGAAUAAGCUGGUCAAUGCAGGAAACUCUGAAAGAAAGCGACUAAAAUCAACAUUUGAAGGUACAUCCUGUAUUAUGUUACUACAGAAAUUGACAUUGUGGUCUGUUAUUGGGAAUCAUGAGUUUCCUGAUAGUGAGACCCAUUAGUAAGAAUUUGUUUAGACAGAAGUUCCUAUAUAGAUGUGAUGUACUGGUGUUUUGAUCCAUUGUCUCACCCAUACUUCACCUAUCUGGAUUAUUUAGCUCGAGCAAUUUGCAGAAUCUUAUACUUCAAUAAGUACAACAAUAUUAAUUUUUGGAGUAGUAGAGUAGUCAUAUAUAGGUAUAUGACGUUAGUCAUGAUCGCACCUAUAUGUUGUGUGGGUUCGGCAUAUCCUAAUUACUGAAGCAAAAAUCAGUGCCAUGAAAGAUUAAUUUGAGAAAAUUUAAUCUAGCAUUUCUUUCAUAUGAACUUAAGGGGAAGGCGCUUAUUUCACAGGCUAAGGUUUCUGUUGGUUACUUCUUCUUUUUGCCCUUCAGUUCAUCGAAAAAUGAAGAGGAUCAUGCCUUUCUGUUGGAAUUGCUUUUCUGGUUUAAGCAAUCAUUCAGGUUAUUGAAAUACUCUGAUGCCUCUUUUCUUCGGUCAUUACUAAUGAUGAGUGUCGUGUGUCUGAUACGGUUUCAUGAGAGUAAUUACCAGUAGUGAGAGCUUUCAGAUUAGGGAUUACGAAUAUGAAGUAGAUGUGCCUUAUAUAUAGACGCCUAACAAUUAAAAAACUAAUACUUAUCUCUAAUCAUCCUUACAUGCAUACAUGCAUGCGAGAUAUCUCUGUUUUCAGACCCUCUCUCUGUUACACAUUUCCAUGAAAAAACAAAAGUAAAAGGGAAAACUCACUUUUGGUUCAUAUGGUGCAGACCAGCAAGCGAUUGUUAAUGAAAGGUUUGAUUUGCAGGUAUACUGAAAUCAAGGUCUUUUAUCUAACUGGUUGGAUAACUACUUUUCAGGUCUAUGCCUUUAACUAAAAUUAAGCAUUUAAUUACUGUUCUGUUGUGUUAUUGAUUUCACCGCUUUUAUGUCAGCCGAUUAGUUCUGAAGGAUUCCACAACGGCUAAUUUAGAUUAUGCAACUUUCGACCAAAAAUAAUUAUUGACAUGUAUAUUUAUCAAGAUCUUUUAUCUAAUUGGUUGGAUAACUACUUUUCAGCUUCAACAUUUGGCUCAUUCUUGUUUUUGGUAAUGUUUUCUUGAUAGUGGAGCAGUCAUGGACCUGUUAUAGAGAUCUUGGUGAAAAACUUGUCACUGCAAUUCAGUCAAAUGGGUGUUGAGAUUGAAGUUUCUGCUUUUGUUGACUUUCUGAUAAAUUACAAAAACAUCGACAAGGUUAUGUGGGAGCCUUUUAUAGAGUCCUCAUGUUUUCAGUUAAAUAUACUUCGAAAAUGUGUUUUUCAUGCACUGGAUGUAUCUCCCAGUACUGUGGUGUCGCUAAAUUCAAGCAAGCAGCUUAAUGUUAACAUAUCAGAGCCCUUCAUCGAGGUACAUGAUCUUGGCAUACUGUAUUUUUCAAACUUGUCAAGAGAUAAAUUAUUGUUCUGUCCUAUCUUCAAGUGAUUAACAUUAUAGUUUUCUGCUGCCACUGUCAUCUUGAUUAAUGUGAUUCAGGAAUCAGGGCAGUGGUCUGCGGAUAGAAUGUAGCUAUAUAUCUUAUCUCGGGGAGCAUCACACCUAUUUAGCUUAGAAGUUUUUUUUCUUACAUUAAACUCAGCAGUGUGUGAUAAUUCGAGACAAGGGGAUUGAUGAUGACACAGACUCAGUCUUAGGGCUUGGCUUCUUACCGGUGGAGAGCUCCUCCAUGUUUAAAAUAGCAUGUUUUAGUUCUGAUUACAACCAUAUAGGUAUUCAUGUAUAAGAUUGUUUGCUUUCAGUUCUGGUUAAAUCAUCUUGGAUGAUCAAUCAAAUUUCCAGUGAUGAUACUCUAGCCUUCAUCGAGGUACAUGAUCUUGGCAUACUGUAUUUUUCAAACUUGUCAAGAGAUAAAUUAUUAUUCUGUCCUAUCUUCAAGUGAUUAACAUUAUAGUUUUCUGCUGCCACUGUCAUCUUGAUUAAUGUGAUUCAGGAAUCAGGGCAGUGGUCUGCAGAUAGAAUGUGGCUAUAUAUCUUAUCUCGAGGAGCAUCACACCUAUUUAGCUUAGAAGUUUUUUUUCUUACAUUAAACUCAGCAGUGUGUGAUAAUUCGAGACAAGGGGAUUGAUGAUGACAGAGACUCAGUCUUAGGGCUUGGCUUCUUACCGGUGGAGAGCUCCUCCAUGUUUAAAAUAGCGUGUUUUAGUUCUGAUUACAGCCAUAUAGGUAUUCAUGUAUAAGAUUGUUUGCUUUCAGUUCUGGUUAAAUCAUCUUGGAUGAUCAAUCAAAUUUCCAGUGAUGAUAAUCUAGCGGAUCAGGCUUCUAAACCACUAUCACUUUCCUGACAGAAGUUGUGCAUGUAGUACAUGUUUUUGGUUUAGCAAAGCUCUUUUUUAGUUAGAGAUCAAUUUUGAAGACUAACAUGUCAUAUGAAUGCCACCAGCUUAGCAAAAGCCUUGAUCUUUCCAAUUUUGUAGGUUGAGGGAAUACUUUGCUACUUCAAAAUCUCCAGAUAAAAGUUGAAGAAUUCGUACGAUAAUCGAUUGGAAACAUAUAUCUAGCAGUUCAUUUUUUUCAUGCGCACAAUGGGAUAAAUUGAUGUAACACAAGCCUUUACAAUUUAGUGCUGUUGUUAUAGAAUCGGGAGACUUGCUUUGUUACCGUACUUAGAGUUGCCGAUUUCUUACUAUAGUAAUAGCCAGGAAGGUUUGUAGUCAACUUAUCUGCAGUUGUAAUUAGUCGACUUAUGCUGCUUAAAUUAUUGUUCUUUGGUGACCAGUGAAUGGGCAAUUGACUCUUGCCUAUAUGGCCGAUCUAAUUGUUCGGAAAAUCUUCAGCACAUUGUAAUACGAAAGGUUUUGAUU
Molecule: RNA transcript, 3619 nt
Organism: Triticum aestivum (bread wheat)
Lineage: Eukaryota; Viridiplantae; Streptophyta; Magnoliopsida; Poales; Poaceae
Exons: 5
Source: RefSeq, a predicted model, not a curated record